UCGGGAAUUUUGGGCAAUGGGCGAAAGCCUGACCCAGCAACGCCGCGUGAAGGAUGAAGUAUUUCGGUAUGUAAACUUCGAAAGAAUAGGAAGAAUAAAUGACGGUACUAUUUAUAAGGUCCGGCUAACUACGUGCCAGCAGCCGCGGUAAUACGUAGGGACCAAGCGUUGUUCGGAUUUACUGGGCGUAAAGGGCGCGUAGGCGGCAAUUCAAGUCAUCUGUGAAAUCUCCGGGCUUAACUCGGAACGGUCAGAUGAUACUGCUUUGCUAGAGUGCAGAAGGGGCAAUCGGAAUUCUUGGUGUAGCGGUGAAAUGCGUAGAUAUCAAGAGGAACACCUGAGGUGAAGACGGGUUGCUGGGCUGACACUGACGCUGAGGCGCGAAAGCU
RNAcentral lists this ribosomal RNA (389 nucleotides) under uncultured bacterium. Its description in RNAcentral is "bacterial SSU rRNA". It matches the Rfam family "Bacterial small subunit ribosomal RNA", at positions 355 to 761 of the family's 1533-position model. The record is from RNAcentral.